AAUGGAGGAAACUCUGAUGCAGCGACGCCGCGUGAGUGAAGAAGUAAUUCGUUAUGUAAAGCUCUAUCAGCAGGGAAGAUAGUGACGGUACCUGACUAAGAAGCUCCGGCUAAAUACGUGCCAGCAGCCGCGGUAAUACGUAUGGAGCAAGCGUUAUCCGGAUUUACUGGGUGUAAAGGGAGUGUAGGUGGCCAUGCAAGUCAGAAGUGAAAAUCCGGGGCUCAACCCCGGAACUGCUUUUGAAACUGUAAGGCUAGAGUGCAGGAGGGGUGAGUGGAAUUCCUAGUGUAGCGGUGAAAUGCGUAGAUAUUAGGAGGAACACCAGUGGCGAAGGCGGCUCACUGGACUGUAACUGACACUGAGGCUCGAAAGCGUGGGGAGCAAA
Molecule: ribosomal RNA, 385 nt
Filed under: uncultured bacterium
Lineage: Bacteria
Description: bacterial SSU rRNA
Rfam family: Bacterial small subunit ribosomal RNA
Source: RNAcentral